CAGCAGCCGCGGUAAUACGGAGGGUGCAAGCGUUAAUCGGAAUUACUGGGCGUAAAGCGCACGCAGGCGGUCUGUCAAGUCAGAUGUGAAAUCCCCGGGCUUAACCUGGGAACUGCAUUUGAAACUGGCAGGCUAGAGUCUUGUAGAGGGGGGUAGAAUUCCAGGUGUAGCGGUGAAAUGCGUAGAGAUCUGGAGGAAUACCGGUGGCGAAGGCGGCCCCCUGGACAAAGACUGACGCUCAGGUGCGAAAGCGUGGGGAGCAAACAGGAUUAGAUACCCCGGUAGUCCCUGUCUCUUAUAC
Molecule: ribosomal RNA, 301 nt
Filed under: uncultured bacterium
Lineage: Bacteria
Description: partial 16S ribosomal RNA
Rfam family: Bacterial small subunit ribosomal RNA
Source: RNAcentral